AACAAGUGUAUCUUGCUUUGUUAUCAAUUAUUAAAAAAUAUCUAAAACUCUUCUUUAAUAUAACUGAUGAUAGACUCCACAAAUCAAGAUGAAUCAAUUCGAAACAUGUACCAGUCUUUAUUAAACUUUUCACAAAAGUGAGUUUGUGUAUUUUUCCAAUUGGACAAUUAUUACAAAAUUCUUUACUAAUUAAGGAGCUACUCUCUUGAAUGUUUAUUAAUAAGGAUAACCAAGCCUUCUGAGACACAAGUCUUCAAAUACAUCCAACCUGUAGCACUGAUGAUGACGUAGGUCUAGUGUGAAAUGAUAUAAGUUUUUUAUGCUAAUCUCAGUAAACAAAAUUUCUUUAGUCUCCACAUCCUUUACCAAAAAAUCAUUUUUGUUAAAGAUAAUAGAAACAUUCAAGCUGAUUUUUAGUAGAAAUUAGUAUUUUAUUUAACUUAAAUACACACAAUAUCACUUGAGUUAUUUUAAUUUUUCUACUAUUAACAUAAAAGAUAAUUGACCAUAUUCUAAAGAUUGGUAUUGUAUUUCCAUUGCCUACUCUAACAAUAGAGUUACCUAAAUAGGAUUAACUUUCUGAGAAGAGUUCUGAGGUCAUAUGGGUGGAUGUGCCAGUCCAAACAUAAGUCCAUAUUGUAGAGUUAACUUAAAUAAGUAAAUCAACAUUGUUGACUAUAAAUUCUACCCCAGCUUGAUCAAUUCCAUCAUCUGAAGAACCAUCUUAGGUAUCUACGAAAUAUGCUGAAAAAUUCUCUUUCCGAACAGCUUUGGCUAAUUGGCCAUGUUUGUCACAAAUAUGAUAAUCAUGGAUAGUAUUCAAUGAUUCAGGAAGUUUCAACAAGGGUGGUUUUUUGUUUCUUGCCAAGGUUUUAGGUAUGAUUACUGAUUUUACUUAUUCUAUCCAGAUUUACCUUUGUAACCAUAUUGUUUGCCUUUAUAUCCUUUGUUAUAUCUAUAAGCAUAAUUGACAGAAAGUUAACCUAAUCACACACUAUAAGAAAAUAAACUUUCGACUACAAUCAAGUUUUUUAACUACGGAAUCGAAUUUUCAUGACUAAAACAAUAACCACUGUUUUUUAAUUUAACCAUGGAUUGAAUCAAUAAAAAAUUUGACUUUUUAAAAUUUAAAUCACAGAAAAUUUUAUUUAAACCAUGGUUAUUUAAUUUACUUACCUUGACUAAUUUUUUGAAACAAUAUAAAAUAUCAAGGUUAUGAAAAAAUCAGUUAUUUUAUUUGUUAGUCAGUCAAACAAUUGAUCAAAAAUUUAUAAAUCUUCAGAGUUUAAAGUGAAUAAAAAAACCUUUAACUACUACUACUCAAUCCAUCUAAGAUAUAUUCAAUCACAUGAUCAUCAUGUGUACAUCAUUAGUAGCAAAUAAUAAAUUUUUUAAUGAUUUAAAAUUUUAAUAAGUUCAAAAUUAUUUCAUUAAUCUUUGUAUUCUCAUGUUGAAAUCAACUAAUAGUCUUUUCAACCUAAAACUAUAUGAAUCAUAACUUUUAUACUAACAUGAAUUUUAAAACUCACCUAAUAUGAACUCAAUGUGUUCAAGUCUAUAUGGAAAUACAUGCAACCAAAACAUUGAAGAAAAAAAUAAUUACAAGACAAUUCAGAUGACUUUGCAUAAUAUCUAAUAACUCAAAUAAAGUGAGGGUUGGGUUUUUGAAUCUACUUUAUACUAAGUUCACUGGAAAAAAACUGAUUUGAAAUAACCAGUAUUUAUUAUUCUCACAGAAUUCACUAUAAUCUUCAAUGAGAAAUAUGACGUUCUUUUUACAUGAAAAUUACAUUUUUAUAAAUUUACAAGUUUAAUAUUUACCUAUUUCUUAACGUCUUUCAUUUAGGAAAGGUCGAAUUAGCUAAGUGGAUCAUUUAAGAAAAUUAGAAUUAAUUAAAAAUGACAAUUUAUAAAACGAAAACUUAAAAACUGACAAAGAAACUGAAUUUCAAUAAAAAAAGUAAGAACUAAAAAGUAGAAAAAACUGAAAUACAACAAAAAAUUGAUAAAAGAUGUAAACUAACGAAUAGGAUUAAAAACUAGUACUUUAAUAGACACUCUCAUAACAAAUUCUUAUUUACAAAUUGAAUAGGAUGUAAGAGAUCGAUAGAGUUUCCAAUGAAAGAAACAUCGAAAGUUUCAAACUGAGAAACAAAAAACACUCAGUAAAAGCUUCGAAUCUAACGUAUAUUUAAUUUCUGAGAGCAAACUUGGACGAAAUCGCAUUGAUUAAAUGGCAAUUUGUUCCAUAGGACUCUCAACAAAAACAAAAGAUGAAAAUAAAAUGAAUAUAGGAAUAUGCUCAGGGAAUACGAACCAAUUCAUGGAUAUUUCACAUCAUCAGAAUGAUAAAAACCGACGAUCCAAAGAUUAUAUAUCGUCACGGCAUAUGUAAGAAAAUAAAGAAUAAAAGGGAAAAAUUUCACAAACCGUAAAACCCUAACGAAGACGACGCCGGUGUAGAUCUCUUACGACGAUUGUCUUUGGGGUAUUUAUAGUCGAGGGUUUUUUAAUGGACCAGAUCUAGGUCUAAUACUGUAAGGCUUUUGGGCUGGAUCUAAUAAAAGUCAGAUUUCGGCCUUGA
This 2584-nucleotide long non-coding RNA is filed under the name Zostera marina. RNAcentral describes it as "long non-coding RNA (ZMAR_LNC005403)". The record is from RNAcentral. Lineage: Eukaryota; Viridiplantae; Streptophyta; Magnoliopsida; Alismatales; Zosteraceae.